RNAcentral lists this long non-coding RNA (232 nucleotides) under Bos taurus (domestic cattle). RNAcentral describes it as "long non-coding RNA NONBTAT017758". Lineage: Eukaryota; Metazoa; Chordata; Mammalia; Artiodactyla; Bovidae. The record is from RNAcentral.
CCCUUCACACAGGAAAAUCCCGUGGAAUAGGUUCUGUAUGUGAUGCCUCAUGUACUGUUUAGAUUAGCUGGCCUCCAGGGAAAACUCCCAUGGCCAGCAGCUACUAUUUCCCUGCCCUCAAUGUCUUAAGAAAGACUUGAAGAACUCUGGACCUGGCGUCAGGAACUGUGUGCCGGCCCGGCUCUGCCUUAUGUUACUCGGGUCACUGGGACUCCCUGUCACCUCUGGGCCA